Long non-coding RNA from Carassius auratus (goldfish), 1625 nucleotides. The record is from Ensembl. Lineage: Eukaryota; Metazoa; Chordata; Actinopteri; Cypriniformes; Cyprinidae.
UGUUACUCUGCUUAAUAAUUGCAAAAACCCAAUUAAUUCAUUAAACAUUAUAUCUUUUUUAAUUCAAGACACGUUAGUGAAGACAAGAGUUUAUUCUAACUUAAAGGUGCUGUAGGGAACUUUUGUAAAAAAAAUAUUUUUUACAUAUUUAUUAAACCUGUCAUUAUGUCCUGACAGUAGAAUAUGAGACAGAUAAUCUGUGAAAAAAUCAAGCUCCUCUGGCUCCUCCCAGUGGUCCUUUUGCCAUUUGCAGAAAUACACCACUCCCGGUAAGAAACAACCAAUCAGAGCUGCGGUCCGUAACUUUUUUUGUGUGUUCAAAGUAUACAAAAUGUAUAUAAUAAGCGAGUACACCAUGAAUCCAUUUUCCAAACCGUGUUUUUGCUUGUCCUGAAUCACUAGGGUACACCUAUAAUCAGUGUUUAUAUUCGGACUAUUUUAGAUUGCUUCGGGGGUACAGCGGCGGAGUAACCCAGUACCUUUGUGAUUCUUCAUAGACAUAAACAGAGAGAAUUAGUUCCGGCUACAAUGUCCUUCCGCAACACGCAAGCAGUUCUGUUUAUUAACCGCUAGAGCGUCAAAAGUUACCGACUGCAGCUUUAAGAAAUAAGAUAAGACAUUCUUGAGGCCUAAUGCACUCUCGCUUUCUGUCAUUUAUUUUUUAGUAAUAUCUUAUAUGUAUUUUCUUGAAUUAUUUUUUGAUUGCUUGCUGAGCAUCAACAUUUGGACUUACAAGUGCAGGAAACCAAACAAAGAAAAUUAUUAUUUUAGGUACGCAGGAAUUAAUUGUCCCAACCAGACAGAGAAGAAUGAUUCAGAGGUAUGGAAAUAAAGGCCUAAAAAUGUUUGUCAACUGAGCUCCAUGCUGCCGAGUGACCGCCGCUCCCUCAGGCAUCAAUAAUACAAGAGGAAGUUAUUGUUCCGCUACAGGCGACAGCAACACAGAAGUAAAAGGUUUGUGGGGAGGCUGUGCUAGGCCUUUCACUCAAUCCACUCGGGUUUCAGCUGCUGUAGACAGGCCUCAGACAAGAACGAGAGGAUUUUGAACAUCAGUGAAGGGCUUGAUUGUGUGCUGACGGUGGCCUAGGGACACUUUUGUUUUAUGACAGCUGUGGGCGACCUGCUGGCUGCCACAUAAGUAAAACAAUACCCACCAGGACAAGGGUACCGUUUUACUGUAUGUCAGUGUUGGCACAGGUGAAAAUGACCUCAUGAGAUGUCAGAUGUCAGAAGAAUAAAGUAGGGCUCAUAGUGAUUAAAUUCUGAUUAAGUGAGUUAUGUAAGCGUUUGAGAAAAAAAAAAAGAGUUGCUUUUUUUUUAGUUAAAAAAUGAAAUAUAAAAAAUUAAUGAAAUACUUAAAAGUUUAUGUUGAUUUGGCAGUUAAAAUGAAUUAAAAUAAGCCAUUUCUAUCAGAAGACUUUGAAAGAAUUAUUAUACAAUUGAUUGUUUAUUAUACACAGCAUUAUCUGAAAGUGCUUUAUCUAUUGCAUACAGUAUCUACUGUGCCCUGUUUAAGCUUCAGUCGAAAGUAAUGACCUACCUUUGUAACUCCUUUAAUCUUAAUUACUAUGAAAUUGCCUUGUGAUACAAGAGUAUACACUCUUGAAGUUCCUUGGCCUUUCUCU